AGGGCAUGAUGUGGACAUCCUUUGAGCUAUUUUUUAUACCUUUCCCAUGCUUCAUAGAAUGGUUCAUUCGAUUUUUUGAGAAAAAGAAGUGAUGUCCUUUCUUAAUCAU
Small nucleolar RNA from Arachis duranensis, 109 nucleotides. Lineage: Eukaryota; Viridiplantae; Streptophyta; Magnoliopsida; Fabales; Fabaceae. The record is from RefSeq and is a predicted model, not a curated record.